UAACCUGCCCAAGAGAUCGGGAUAACACCUGGAAACAGAUGCUAAUACCGGAUAACAACAGAUGAUGCCUAUCAACUGUUUAAAAGAUGGUUCUGCUAUCACUCUUGGAUGGACCUGCGGUGCAUUAGCUAGUUGGUAGGGUAACGGCCUACCAAGGCGAUGAUGCAUAGCCGAGUUGAGAGACUGAUCGGCCACAUUGGGACUGAGACACGGCCCAAACUCCUACGGGAGGCAGCAGCCC
This 241-nucleotide ribosomal RNA is filed under the name uncultured Lactobacillus sp. RNAcentral describes it as "partial 16S ribosomal RNA". It matches the Rfam family "Bacterial small subunit ribosomal RNA", at positions 122 to 355 of the family's 1533-position model. The record is from RNAcentral. Lineage: Bacteria; Bacillati; Bacillota; Bacilli; Lactobacillales; Lactobacillaceae.